Molecule: long non-coding RNA, 562 nt
Filed under: Trifolium pratense (red clover)
Lineage: Eukaryota; Viridiplantae; Streptophyta; Magnoliopsida; Fabales; Fabaceae
Description: long non-coding RNA (TPRA_LNC012489)
Source: RNAcentral
AGUGUAUUAUCCUUCCCAAACCGGGCUCUGGGUCUAGUUUGAAAACAAAUAUACAUUUGUGAAGAAUGCACAUUAACUCAUAAUAGUAGUCUUCAGACUUCGGACAAUCGGCAUCUAUGUCACAUACCAUAGGUACUGUAAUGAAAAAAGAUACGGAAAUAAUGUUUCUAAAAUCUGAUAAAAGACCGUGUACAGACUACAAAGAAAAUAAGAUUUUUUAUUUUAUUUGUUUUCACCACUAAUAUCCGGCCCACUGGACCAUCUAAUCUGUUUUGAAAAUCAGUUUUAGCAUCAAGUGGUUCUAGCCCUUUCCUGAUCGCAGUUGUGAGGGAUCGAACCAUGGUCCACACUACCAAGUUUAGUGUCAAUCAAAACUGGACCAACUAACAACUCGUGCAAAUAAGAAAAAUUUGAUAAAUAGAAAAAUAAAAUGCCUUACAAUUAAGUCCUUCCGUCGCAAGAAUAAAUAUGAAAAAAAAUAGUAUUAUAUCAUACACAAACUUGAUAAUUUUAGCCAUUUUUUUUUUCCUCUUUGAAUGUGAAAAGUAAAAUAUGGUUUGAU